UACGUAGGGGGCUAGCGUUGUCCGGAAUCAUUGGGCGUAAAGCGCGUGUAGGCGGUUCGGUAAGUCCGCUGUGAAAGUCGGGGGCUCAACCCUCGGAUGCCGGUGGAUACUGUCGGGCUUGAGUACGGAAGAGGCGAGUGGAAUUCCUGGUGUAGCGGUGAAAUGCGCAGAUAUCAGGAAGAACACCAACGGCGAAGGCAGCUCGCUAGGACGGUACUGACGCUGAGACGCGAAAGCGUGGGGAGCGAACAGG
This 253-nucleotide ribosomal RNA is filed under the name uncultured bacterium. Its description in RNAcentral is "partial 16S ribosomal RNA". It matches the Rfam family "Bacterial small subunit ribosomal RNA", at positions 524 to 776 of the family's 1533-position model. The record is from RNAcentral.